AGUGAGAGGAAGGGGUAUAGCAGGGGUGAGUGGAGUGCAGUGAGAGGAAGGGGUAUAGCAGGGGUGAGUGCAGUGUAGUGAGAGGAAGGUAUAUAGCAGGGGUGAGUGGAGUGUAGUGAGAGGAAGGGGUAUAGCAGGGGUGAGUGUAGUGUAGUGAGAGGAAGGGGUAUACCAGGGGUGAGUGGAGUGUAGUGAGAGGAAGGUAUAUAGCAGGGGUGAGUGGAGUGCAGUGAGAGGAAGGUAUAUAUAGCAGGGGUGAGUGGAGUGCAGUGAGAGGAAGGGGUAUAGCAGGGGUGAGUGGAGUGUAGUGAGAGGAAGGUAUAUAGCAGGGGUGAGUGGAGUGUAGUGAGAGGAAGGUAUAUAGCAGGGGUGAGUGGAGUGCAGUAAGAGGAAGGUAUAUAUAGCAGGGGUGAGUGGAGUGCAGUGAGAGGAAGGGGUAUAGCAGGGGUGAGUGGAGUGCAGUGAGAGGAAGGGGAAUAGUAGGGGUGAGUGGAGUGCAGUGAGAAGAAGGGGUAUAGCAGGGGUGAGUGGAGUGCAGUGAGAGGAAGGUGUAUAGCAGGGGUGAGUGGAGUGCAGUGAGAGGAAGGGGUAUAGCAGGGGCGAGUGGAGUGCAGGGAGAGGAAGGGGUACAGCAGGGGCGAGUGGAGUGCAGGGAGAGGAAGGGGUACAGCAGGGGUUAGUGGAGGGCAGUAAUAGAUUUUUUGAGGCAAACAAUGUGCAGUCUAGAGAUGUUCUUGGAGUUGAUUAGUCAUCAAUAUCUUAAUACAAAGUGCUCUUUACAUAGAAUCUGUUACCUAUAAAGUACCCCGUGCAUUUAACAGUGAGUAUUGCUACCAGCUAGAGGCCGUAUCUUUAAAUUAUCUGCUGGAACCAGUUAUCUGAGGAUGCUCUGCUGGCCUUAGACCUCACGGACCCCAGGCAGAGACUUCAUGGGUACAGAUUCCAGGAGGAAGAGCCCUCAGUGACUGUGACAUGGAGUGGAUACUUUUCCAGUGAGUGUCAGUAGAACCACAGCUCCACGAAUGGAGGGAACACCAUUGGCCCCAGCAUUUCUGGGUCUUGAUGCCCUGCUGGACCUAAUGCUAUGUGUAUGCCAUGAGCUGGUUACAUCUCCUCUGGCCCACGAGACACACAUCUCUGAAUUCCUGAGCUGGGGUGAGUGUUCGCUUGGCUAGCUGGGCAUCAUAGGAAACGUAGUCCUCAUCAGCUGGUGUACUCCCAGUUUUUGUACUACGAGAUCUGAUGCGAUGCUUUAUGUUUUUUUUUUGUUUUUUUUUUAAAUGUUUCCCCUUUUUCUGUCUUUUCAAAAACAGCUGGAAGGCAUAGGAUGUAUUUUAAUAAGGGCACAAGCUAUAACAGCUGUAUAGAAAAAAUGCCACAAUAGUGAGCCCUAAGUCCAGUGGGCGCAGUAUGUAGAAAGAUCUCCAAAUGUUUUAGUAAUGUCAAAGGGAAAAAAUAAUCUAUUUCUAGGUUGGCAAAUACUGUGCAUAUUUUUGUAAAAUAGUUUGACUGCAACAAAACUUUCUAGAACAAUUUUCUUAUUUUAAGGGACGACACUCUAGUGUUUUGCUAAAAUGUAGUGGUUUAAUUAUACCGUACAUUUGUUUAG
Non-coding RNA from Pelobates cultripes (western spadefoot toad), 1609 nucleotides. The record is from the annotation of a GenBank genome assembly. Lineage: Eukaryota; Metazoa; Chordata; Amphibia; Anura; Pelobatidae.